UGGCGGCCUUAGCGCGGUGGUCCCACCUGACCCCAUGCCGAACUCAGAAGUGAAACGCCGUAGCGCCGAUGGUAGUAUGGGGUCUCCCCAUGCGAGAGUAGGGAACUGCCAGGCA
Molecule: ribosomal RNA, 115 nt
Filed under: Shigella boydii 965-58
Lineage: Bacteria; Pseudomonadati; Pseudomonadota; Gammaproteobacteria; Enterobacterales; Enterobacteriaceae
Also listed under: 5 other names
Source: RNAcentral